GACGAACGCUGGCGGCGUGCUUAACACAUGCAAGUCGAACGUUAAGGCCCCUUCGGGGGUACACGAGUGGCGAACGGGUGAGUAACACGUGAGCAACCUGCCCUUGACUCUGGAAUAACAGUUGGAAACAGCUGCUAAUACUGGAUAUUCAUCGUCUCCUUCCUGGGGGGUGGUGGAAAGCUCCGGCGGUCAGGGAUGGGCUCGCGGCCUAUCAGCUUGUUGGUGAGGUAAUGGCUCACCAAGGCUUCGACGGGUAGCCGGCCUGAGAGGGCGACCGGCCACACUGGGACUGAGAUACGGCCCAGACUCCUACGGGAGGCAGCAGUGGGGAAUAUUGCACAAUGGGCGCAAGCCUGAUGCAGCAACGCCGCGUGCGGGAUGACGGCCUUCGGGUUGUAAACCGCUUUCAGUAGGGACGAAGGGUGACUGACGGUACCUACAGAAGAAGGACCGGCUAACUACGUG
Molecule: ribosomal RNA, 465 nt
Filed under: uncultured bacterium
Lineage: Bacteria
Description: partial 16S ribosomal RNA
Rfam family: Bacterial small subunit ribosomal RNA
Source: RNAcentral